This is a long non-coding RNA of Heterocephalus glaber (naked mole-rat), 1708 nucleotides long. NCBI's taxonomy places the organism in Eukaryota, Metazoa, Chordata, Mammalia, Rodentia, Bathyergidae. The record is from Ensembl.
GGGAGGACAGGGUCGGGAGGUUGGCGGUAGCCUCGGAUGGGGCGGCACCCCGCAUUUUUUACCUACUUUGGUGCGAUUCCCGCAGCCCUCCGAUGAUUGGCCAGCUAGACACGGCGGACCCUCGCGUGAGAGGAAAAAUCUGCACAUUUUUCCUUCUUCGCGAGGCGACUGAGGCCCGCUCUGGGCACCCUGGGACAGGAAGAAUUUACAACUGGGAAGAUUACUGAACUUUAUAUUAAGUUGUACCUAAUUUAGGCAGCCAAGAGCAUAAUGAUUUAUACCGAAACUGUUUUGAUUCUCCAGAUAUGACGAUUUGGACAAGAUGGCAAUAAGGAAGUUGGGGCGGUUUUAAGCCUUUACCACUGGCUGCAGGUGUUUGGCAAGGACGUGGGAAUUACCUGAAGAACUUGUUCCAAAUUAGGCUUACACUUAAUCUUUGGGGGAAAAUAACUCUCAACCUGCUGGAGGCCAGAUGUGCUGAGUUUUUGUCUCCUGAGAAAGGAAGGAGGUGAAGAGUAAGGAAAGGUUUACCGACAGCUCCUGAGAGACAGGAGGGGUCCCAGAAGUGCGUGGCCCCACAGGCGCUUUCUCCAAGAAUGUUCUAUGGAGCAAAAUCACAAGGGAGAUUCUCAGGCCUGGCCAUAUUGUCUCCAUCUUGAGUCCUGGCCCCCUUCAGAUGUGCCUUCAGCAGCAGUUUUGAUGUGUUUUCAUCUUCCACACUGACUCCCUUGAGGGCUUAUCCCUGUCUGACUACCUAUUAAUUUCUACCUAACUUAGCUGUCUAGUAUCUUGAUCUUGUACCUUCCAGCCUCCAAAGCAAUAGGAAUAUAUCUCUGUUUUCUCUGCUGACCCCCAGUCUGUGUGUGGCUUUGUGCUGUACAGCCUGAACAGACUAUAACACAUAAAGUCUCUCCUUGAAUACAGCAUGGGUAUGUUCCAUUUCUGAUUUAGAAGACGUUUUGCAAAUGCAGUACUUGAUCUAUGAACAUGCAAGCACUUUCAUUUGAAGCCAUUAAUAUGACUGGCAGAGAAUAAAUUCACUUUGAAGAGAUUGCAGAGACACCGGUGUUUUGUUUUUUUGUAUUGUUUUGUUUUUUUGGUACUGGGGAUUGAACUCAGGACCUUGCGCUUGCAAGGCAGGUGCCGGCUAAAUCCCUGGCCUGAGACAUGGGUGUUAAUAGUCUGAAAAAGCUCCUUUGCCAGGGGUAAACCCUAUCAGAAGGAAGUGUACAAAACUAUUUUUGAAUCUUUUCCCUGCCUUCCCACAAAUUCACCUCCUCCAUAUCUCCUACCCUUUAUGGUGUUUUGCUGGUUGUAUAGUGUUCUAUAGUUCACUUUCAUACAAUUAAUGAUUAUCUUGGUGACCUGGCCUUAUCAAGAAAUCAUUCCUUAUAAUUGCAGAAAAGCAUGACUGUCCAUUUGUUUAAUCUCUGUCCUACUGAUAGCCGUUUAGUUUCUUUCCAAAGCAUGACUAUCACAGUGUCUCGAUGAACAGCCUUAUGACUAGCCUCUUUGCACACAAGCAAGUACACUUCUCAGAAAAGGACAAAUAAGGGAAUCAGGUACUUGGUUCAAGGCUGAGAGUUCAAGCUCUUCAAAGUAUCUGUGGACAGAAUGUACCAUAAAAAUAUGAAAAGUAAGAAAACAUGCACACACCCCCAAGGUACACUGUUGAAUGAAUGAAUGAAAACAAGUUGCAGCUAGCACU